UGACAUUCCAUUACUGUGCUCUGAUGCUUGGCAAAACUUAAAUCUACAGGUUUAAGGAAAUGGAAAGUCUUAUGUAAGGACUGGAACACCAGAGAGUUGAUAGGAAGGUGACAGGUGGAUUGGCUAUUAAUUGCAGCUGCUCAGCUGAGGCAGAAGAGUGUUCCAGAGGACAUCUGCAGGCUGCAGAAACGUGAGUUUGUGUGAACAGCCUGACAUGAGGGUGAAUCAUAGGCAAUAAGUAGAAACUUAUGUUUAUAAUCCUCCCCUCCAACUACAGAGGGCAGAACCGUAACCAAGAAUGUUUCUGAAAGCUAGGAAAUUUUGUCUGCUAUGGAAGUUGGAGAAAUGACACCCUGUCUGCAGUGUUUUACAAUUCUGAAGUAAGCAGUUUCAAGCGUACUGAAAAGCACAGGCUCUUCUAGUCAGCUCUUACUCUUUGCUCUCUGCCAUGUUAUGAAAACAGAAUUUGAACUUGAAUUCCAUGAUUUGAAAAAGAGGAUCUGCAGACGAGUUAAAACUGCAGAGGAUAAACUGAUAUCCAAGAAGAUAUUUUUGAAACCAAUCUUCAUGUCAGUUUCUUGAAAAAAGGAAAGCAUUUACAAGUUUACCUGUGAUCUGUAGGAACAGUGGUUGCAAACAGUUCAGAAGUUAAUUGCCACAGCAUCCUCUCCUCUCCUUCCCCCCACCUUUCCUGGCCUCUUUCUCCAGAGCUGGUGUUCUCCAGGGAAACAAGUGGAAUGGUUUCCUUUCACAACGAAACAGUAAGGAGAUGGCCAAAGCAAGAGCCUA
This 789-nucleotide long non-coding RNA is filed under the name Gallus gallus (chicken). RNAcentral's name for it is "lncRNA (ENSGALG00010011315.1)". Lineage: Eukaryota; Metazoa; Chordata; Aves; Galliformes; Phasianidae. The record is from RNAcentral.